RNAcentral lists this long non-coding RNA (750 nucleotides) under Capsicum annuum. RNAcentral's name for it is "long non-coding RNA (CANN_LNC009170)". The record is from RNAcentral. Lineage: Eukaryota; Viridiplantae; Streptophyta; Magnoliopsida; Solanales; Solanaceae.
UAAGAGGAACGAAACAGAGUAAGUGGUAAACAAUAUUAUGAUAGUAUAAUACACUGCACACCAAACAAAAUAAACUAUAAGUGAGCUAAAAAUGUGAGAUAAAGACGAAAGUUUCCAUUUUAAGCUCUGUUCGUUAUCUGGAAAUGGAGAGGUUGGAAUAAUAUUUUUGGAAAUGAUAAGAAUAAUCAGCAUUUAGCUAGGCUAGCUUAUAGCUUUCUGAUGGAGGACUAUCCACAAGAGCUUCAGCUGGGCUAAUGAGUUUCGGACCAAAGCAAUUCCCAUUUCUUCCGAUUUUCUUCCCCAAAUCUCCGAUCAUCAUGACAACAGACACUGCCGAUUUCAACAGUUUCUUGAAAAUCGCAGCUUUAACUGCUCCUCGUCUCGGCGGGAGUCUUAUUUUCCGUCCGUUCAUCUCAUUCUUCGUCUCCGGGAUCUCCAUUCGUGACGAUUUUUGGUGAAUUAAGGAUGUUUGGGAGUGAAAAUCGCAGUGCAAAAAACAGAGGUUAGAGCUUGGUUGGAGCAGGGGAAUGAAUAGGGUGGUUAAGUAGUUUGAAGAAGUAAUCGGAAAAACUUUUCAAGGCUUUGUGAAGGUUGAAGAAAGUACAUAUAAGGGCGAGGUAAAGAUAGAUGAGUGGAUUUUAUAGUAAUGUUUGAGGGGGAAACUGGAUAUUAUAGUAAUGUUUGGGUGCGGCGUGGGAGACGAGGGGGGUGCGAGGGGAGGAUCCAGGGGCAGGCACACGUAGGUUCAAG